AGAAGAUGGGGGCCAGAGGUCUGGAUCUAUGGUUUGAGCAAGCCACAUUAGAGGAUGACGGGUUCAAUGGCUACGUGAUGCGCACGGGUCGCCGAUUUCAGAGGACUACUGGAUUUAAUGGAGGCACGAAGACAGAAGCCAGCGAAGAAGAAGGCCCUGCGAUUUCACGAUCUGUGACAGUGGUGGGCUGAUGAUUGGAGCAGAGUUCUGCUCUUUUUGUUGUAGGUGCUGCUGAAGGUCCCUUCAUUUUUGGUGCGUCCCUUCAUCCUGGUAAGGCUCACUGGAUAAAUGGUUUGGAUGACGUAUACACAAUGCGAUGAACUCCAAAUUUCAUCUGGAACUUUCUACGGUUUGUCUUUUCUACAAGCUAAAGUGUAUUUAAAUGGCACAAGAACCCAUAAAUCCAGAUGAGGUUGUUUUGGCAGAAGAAGUAAACCAUGCAAGGUCGAUCACCUUAAACCGGCCUCGCCAAUUGAAUGUCAUUUCAUCCAAAGUGGUUGUUUUGCUAGCUGAAUUCCUUGAAAAAUGGGAGAAGGAUGAUGAUGCAGAGCUUGUGAUAAUUAAGGCUGCUGGACGUGCUUUCUCUGCUGGUGGGGAUCUAAA
Molecule: long non-coding RNA, 603 nt
Organism: Magnolia sinica
Lineage: Eukaryota; Viridiplantae; Streptophyta; Magnoliopsida; Magnoliales; Magnoliaceae
Exons: 5
Source: RefSeq, a predicted model, not a curated record